Molecule: ribosomal RNA, 301 nt
Filed under: uncultured bacterium
Lineage: Bacteria
Description: partial 16S ribosomal RNA
Rfam family: Bacterial small subunit ribosomal RNA
Source: RNAcentral
CAGUAGCCGCGGUAAUACGGAGGGAGCCAGCGUUGUUCGGAAUUACUGGGCGUAAAGCGCACGUAGGCGGUUAUUCAAGUCAGAGGUGAAAGCCCGGGGCUCAACCCCGGAACUGCCUUUGAAACUAGAUGACUAGAAUCUUGGAGAGGUCAGUGGAAUUCCGAGUGUAGAGGUGAAAUUCGUAGAUAUUCGGAAGAACACCAGUGGCGAAGGCGACUGACUGGACAAGUAUUGACGCUGAGGUGCGAAAGCGUGGGGAGCAAACAGGAUUAGAUACCCGCGUAGUCCCUGUCUCUUAUAA